GGGGUCAUAGCUCAGUAGGGAGAGCGCUUGCAUGGCAUGCAAGAGGUCGGCGGUUCGAACCCGCCUGACUCCACCA
This 76-nucleotide transfer RNA is filed under the name Vibrio parahaemolyticus. Its description in RNAcentral is "tRNA-Ala". It matches the Rfam family "tRNA". Rfam says of the family: Transfer RNA (tRNA) molecules are approximately 80 nucleotides in length. Their secondary structure includes four short double-helical elements and three loops (D, anti-codon, and T loops). Lineage: Bacteria; Pseudomonadati; Pseudomonadota; Gammaproteobacteria; Vibrionales; Vibrionaceae. The record is from RNAcentral.